CUCCUGCUCCUCCUUCUCCGCGUCCCCGACCACCUCCUACCCGUCGUCGUCGCACUCGCAGCGACACCAGCCGCAGAGGCCCGUGGUGACGUCCUCCUCGGUAUCCCCUCCAGCCGGGUGGCUCCGCACCGCAUCCGGCCCCGGCCCCGGAUCCGACGCAACUCACACAUCUCCAGGCGCUCGCAGAAUCCCACCCGACGCCAUCAGCGCCCGCCAUGCCAUGCCCCAGAAGCCCGUCCACGGUUGCUGCUCCAAUCCCUUCCGCGGAUGCCGCAUAAUCCCAACUGACGCAGCUCCGCCUCAAGUCGUCCUUCUCAGGCGGCGGGUCCGGCCGUCCGGGUGCGUCGGCUUGGGCGGCACCGACGGGUCCUUCUUGGACAAAGCGCUAAUUGGAAUGCCUACUCGCACUAUGCUGCUGCCUGAGCCUUGAAUUAUUUCCAGGCUAUAUAAACAUAUCUGGUAAAAGGCCUUGGGAUUUUUUCUGAGAUAAGGGGAUCUUACGAAGCGGAUCCACAAGCUGCAAUCACCAAGUUUUUCCGGCUGCACCGGCUACAUCUGCAUAUCGCGAUGUUUAUAUAGACAUCUGGUUUACUGCACUAGCAAAUGGUUAAUUUAGUAAAGAUGGCAAAGAAGAAUUUAAUGAAGUUUAACCUAUAAGCAGACAAUGGCUUCCAAUACAUGUGCACAGAAUUUACAGAAGCAGGAAACACAUUUUCAACUCGUGAGAACCAAAGGCACCAAAUUACCAGACGACAUAAAGCGUACCUUUCCUGAUUUGAUUACGCUUGUUGGGAGGGAGUCCUAAUAGAUAGUUUCAGUAACCCUUCUUUUAAUGGUAGAUAUAGAAUGGACUGGACUAGAGUUUCCAUUCUGCUUUGCUGCUGGACCGAGCUUUGUUGGUGAAGUCCUCGCUGGUGUUGGUGAACACUUAUAAAGCUUUGGUGGUGAUCUUCUUUCUGUAGCAGAUUCCUUUUUGCUCUCCUUUGGCAUUUGCUUCUUGACUACAACACAACCAUUUGGACUAGGUGAAGCGCCACCAUUCUUGCGUGUGUCCUUGCUAAUUUCUUGCUUUGUGGAAACUAACUUACUAUUACCAGUAGAUGUAUUAUUUGGCAUUCCUGAAAGUAAUCAUCAAGCAUUGUUUUUUAACCUUUUCAGAAGAUAUGGAUAGUUUUUUUGGUUCAAACCGUUGUAUGUAUAAAAUUCAUAAGAGCUCAC
This is a long non-coding RNA of Zea mays, 1218 nucleotides long. RefSeq lists it as uncharacterized. The transcript has 2 exons. NCBI's taxonomy places the organism in Eukaryota, Viridiplantae, Streptophyta, Magnoliopsida, Poales, Poaceae. The record is from RefSeq and is a predicted model, not a curated record.